GCGCGGGUAGCUCAGUGGUAGAGCGUUCGAUUGCAGCUCGAAGGGUCUUGGUUUUUGGGACUCGUCGGAGCUUGUUGUG
This 79-nucleotide transfer RNA is filed under the name Phytophthora infestans (potato late blight agent). RNAcentral describes it as "tRNA-Cys". The record is from RNAcentral. Lineage: Eukaryota; Oomycota; Peronosporomycetes; Peronosporales; Peronosporaceae.